UCGAGUUUCACGCCUAUAUUGGCGAUCAUCAGACUGCCUGUCCGUAUUAAAACGUCCUUAUUUAUACCUAUUUUAAACUAUAUAAAAUUAGCAUAAACCUUUACAUAAUUACAAUUAAAAUUAUUUACGUUACAUUACUAGCAUAAAACUUGUUUUCAUGUCGACAUUUUGAUAUUAAUUCUGAUCGUUUGUUUAGAAGAGUUCCCUUGUGAGCGUU
Molecule: non-coding RNA, 217 nt
Organism: Paramuricea clavata
Lineage: Eukaryota; Metazoa; Cnidaria; Anthozoa; Malacalcyonacea; Plexauridae
Source: the annotation of a GenBank genome assembly